Molecule: ribosomal RNA, 162 nt
Filed under: Taraxacum occultum
Lineage: Eukaryota; Viridiplantae; Streptophyta; Magnoliopsida; Asterales; Asteraceae
Description: 5.8S ribosomal RNA
Rfam family: 5.8S ribosomal RNA
About the family: 5.8S ribosomal RNA (5.8S rRNA) is a component of the large subunit of the eukaryotic ribosome.
Source: RNAcentral
GAAUGACUCUCGGCAACGGAUAUCUCGGCUCACGCAUCGAUGAAGAACGUAGCAAGAUGCGAUACUUGGUGUGAAUUGCAGAAUCCCGUGAACCAUCGAGUUUUUGAACGCAAGUUGCGCCCGAAGCCAUCCGGUUGAGGGCACGCCUGCCUGGGCGUCACG